This 1377-nucleotide long non-coding RNA is filed under the name Vigna radiata. RNAcentral describes it as "long non-coding RNA (VRAD_LNC001546)". The record is from RNAcentral. Lineage: Eukaryota; Viridiplantae; Streptophyta; Magnoliopsida; Fabales; Fabaceae.
UUAAUAGACAGUGAUCCGAAAGUGAAUAAAAUAAUAUGUUUAAUAAACAAUAAAUAUCUACAACAAAUAUUUUAAUAUGAGUGACAGAAUAGGUUGAACAAACAACAUAUGUUUUUAAGACAAAUUUUAACACAUGAUUAUAAUAUUGUUAAGAGUAAGGAUGACAACAAGUCCAAUCGAACAUGAAUAAUGUCUAUCUGCAACUCGACCUGCAAAGAAAAUCUACUCCACAAUCCGUCAGCGGAUAUUUUAAAACUCAUGUAUACCUAAAAAAAGAAGAAAUAUUUUAUACAUUUUAAAAAUAAAAUUAUAAAAAUACAUAUAAUGUAAUAUAAAUUAAACUAAAAUUUAAUUUUAAUUAAAUUUUACCUAAUAAAAUAUUAUUUUAUUUUUUAAUUAAAUUUAAUUAAAAAAUAUAUAUAAAUUAAAUUAUUAUUAUUAUUUUUUGAAGGUAAUGAAUACUGUAGAAUCAGAUAGUAUAUUAUCCGCAUCCGAUAUAUUUAGAAACGAAUAUGUUUAAAAACGAAUAUUAGAAUACCUUCUAUAUAUUAUCUGUGCAUAGUAAAUAUUUGCGAAUAAUAACUAACGGUAACAGAUUUUAUCCACGGGUACUCGAACCAGCAAUUCUUUUUCUAUCCCUAGGUAAGAGUAAGGGGUAGAGUAUAAUAUGAAAUCGUCUUUGACUAUAAAAUAUUUAACCCUAAAUUGAUUGUAUAUUAUAUUAUAGGUGCAUAAUAUUUCCAAACAAGUUUAAACUCAUUCAUUUCCGGUUUUGCUUUUGAGCAACUUACUGAGGUUUGGAAGGAUCAACCCUUUUAAAACCGUGCAGCACAAAAGGGAAAGAGAGAAGGAUAAGAAUCCUAUGGUUGAAAAAAAUAAAAGGAGAAAUUGAGAAAAAGAAGAAAGAGAUUCUGAGGUAGUAUAAGAUAAAGAGUUAUUAAUUAUUACCUUUGGAUUUGAGGACAAAAAGAGCUCCUGCAUCAACAUCAUCAUGUUGGUGGUGAAGUUGAUGAACACCGUUUGGGUUCUCAGGUUUUUCAUCAGGAAACAGAGUUCCCAUCCUGUUUCUUCUGAGUGAAGGCCUUAACAGAAGAACAGAGCAAUUCAGAGCAGAGUAUAUAACACCAUAUGCAUAUGUGUGUGUAUAUAUAAAUAUAUAGCAGAAGCUCUGAGUAUUUUUACAGAAAAAGCAGUGUGAAUUUUGAUCAGAAUAGAUGUCAGUGAUGCUACUUUUAUAGACGCCUUGUGCAGUAUGCAAUGAACUAGACUUGGAAAUAGAAGAUAUAUGACCUAAGCCUAGUUCAGAUGAAAAUGCAACAAGACAAAUGCUAAUAAGAGAAACUAUUUCGAUAACAUUUAUGGUAAGAUUUUGUUAAA